Long non-coding RNA from Neofelis nebulosa (Clouded leopard), 5525 nucleotides. RefSeq lists it as uncharacterized. Lineage: Eukaryota; Metazoa; Chordata; Mammalia; Carnivora; Felidae. The transcript has 3 exons. The record is from RefSeq and is a predicted model, not a curated record.
AUGUAGAACUAUAGUCUAGCAAAAGGGGAUCUACGGGGUAGAGUGAAUCUUAGCUAGUGUACUUUGAGUGUCCUCACCCUUUAGAUAAGCAGUUCUCCAGGUGGUAAUACAUAUGCCUUUUGGUUCAGGUGAGCUUGACUUCCCUGGUUUUUAUUUCACGCUCAGGAAACCUUGUUCAUUAUUAUGUACCCCUUGUGUAGGUCCACUUCAGAGAGAAGUUCAGGUCCAUCUGACUUGCGAAGGUGAAUUUGGAUGCCUUGUGGGAUUUGUUUAAUUGGCUGGAUCCAGGCCACUGGGGCAUGGUUGAAAUUGACCUGAUCCUGCUGCUUGGAGGCCUGUUGGCUGUAGUUUUAGUGGAUUGCUGUGUGAGACAAAUUAAACAGUUGAUCCCAGCCUCUGUCACAUUGAUCAGUGAUCAGUGGAAUGAAUGGUGCAUUCAUGAAAAUUUCUCCAAGACUAAGAUGGUGUAGAAACGAAGGGUAGAAAUUGUGGAGAGAUGCUUUUCCAAAGUUCUUUGGUGUUUCUGCACAUCGUGAAAGCAGAGGCACUGACUGUGCCCUUUCUAGACCAUCUUUCCAAGGAUGUUUGUGCAGUGAACAGCUUUGCUAAAGAUAGAGGGGAUAUCUCCCUUUGGAGCAAAAAGCAGUAUUGCUUAAAGCCUUGGAAGAUAGACUUAGUGUCUCCCUUUGGAGCAAGGGACACUAGUAGUAUAAAAAAUUGGGGUUUCCUAAACUCUCUCCCUCUUUUGUUCUGCAACUUUCUGCAUGUGCUGUUAUUACCUGACCUGCUUCUCUCCUUGUGUUCAGGGAACUGGCCCAAGAAAAUGCUAACAUUCUGCCUCUUGCUAGUGUUUUAAAUGAUGCAGUCCUUUGUCUUAGACCCAUGGAUCUUGUGUCUUCUUUCAGCAUUCAUGGAACGGUGCAGAUUAACUUGUUAGCUUGCAAGCAAGGUAAAAUCUGUGAGCCUUCAUAGGUCUUGAAAUUUGUGUUGGAUAACAAUAAUAGAGUCAAGAUUUUCUUUCUUAUGCAACAGAAGUUAAUCUAUUCAUGAUUAAACCUUUUCCAGAAUGGAUUGGGUGCCCAUAUGUGUUUCUACUGCCUGGAAAAAAAUAUUGUUACUUGUUUUGUUGGAUAAAACUGCUCCAUUAUGUCUGAAGCUUGUAUCAAUGAGUGGAUCUUCCUAGGAGUGAAGUUAUCUAAGACUGUCACAUCUUUUACGCUAGCUUAUUGUAUUAACUUUUCCAGGGCUUCAGUUCUGUCACCUACAAAUGAGAGAAUCAUAUUGUCUAAGGUCCUUUCCAACUACAGUACUUCUAGGCAAUAUAAAAAAAAUAGCAUCACUUUAAUUUUAUUUAUGUGAUAAGUCCUUACAUUGUUUUUGCUACGGGACAGGUACCAGUCUUAAAUGCUUUUCAAAUAACUCAUUUAAACAAGGCUAAUGUUGUAGGUAAGGAAACUGAGGCAGAGAGUUAAGUAAUUUACUCAGGGUCAUCCAGCUAGAAAGUGACAUAGCUGGGGUUCAAACCCUGGUAAAGUUUGUACGCUUUCCCACAAUGCUGUGCUGCUCCCAGCUUUUCAUUGAAAAAAUGAUUCACUUUCUGCCCCGUGAGAACUCAGGAAGCCACAGGAGAGAAUGAAACAGGUCCCUGCUCUUCAGAAUCUGCACACAAAGUGAGAAUUUUAUGCUCUGUGUGUUUGUCCCACAGAAGGUCUCCAAGGUAAUCAUUUGCCUAGAAGAAUACCUUUUUAGAAUGUAAAAGUGUACAUUUUUAGGUUGGGUAGUUGGCUCCAGGUUUUUAAAUGCCUUAUUUAUGAUUGUUCACAUAAACCUUACGGUUCUAAUCUGUUGCUGGUAAACUAGGUUAGACUUCGGGGAACUAUGGAGACAUAAUUGGCCAAAAGGCUUACCUAGUUAAUACCUAAAAUAAGAUUAAUAAAAUUAUGUAUAGAAAUUAAAAUAGUUAUACUGAAUCAUUUUCUUUGAAAGUUUUUCAUCAACCCACAUCUCAUUUAUGUAUGCUAAUAUGAGCUUCUUGAGGAUAGUAGUAGAAUCUUUCUCAUCUUUGUGUCUGUAUCUAUAUUAUACCUAAGACAAUAUUUCUCACUGUAUUCAUUUAAGUGUUGAGUGAAUGAUCAUUUCUUUUUUAUAGUAUACAAGAUGAUUCUACGUAUCUGGCAGGGGCCUGGCAGGAAGCAAAAUUACACUCAGGUGGUCCAACCGAACAGGCUUGCAUGAAGGAACUACUUACUGAAGACUGAAGGGAACAAACUUACUGAAGGAAACAAACAAGGGAUGCGGAGGCACCGUGCUGUCAUGACUCCUAGGUCGAAAGGGGCAACUAUUAUACAGCAACUGCAUGGAGCCCAGGGACAGACUGACAGAGCUGUGGCUGGCACAGCAGACAGGAAAGAGAGACAAGGAGGAUAGAUACCCCUGUGUCUCCUGCCACCCUCCAAUCUCCUCCCAAUAAUCCUCUCGUUGGCCGAGCCCGACUGGAAUACUGAAUGAUAAGGAGUGUAUAAAGGAGGGAGGGGGACAAAGGGAAAAUAGCAUGCUAGAAACAUCUGGAGUUGUCUCAGUCCAUUCAGGCUGCUAUAACAGAAUGCCAUAGACCACGUGGUUUAUAAACAACACAAGUUUAGUUCUUAGUUUUGGAGACUGGGAAGUCAAGAACAAGGUUCUGGCAAGAUCCAGUGUGAGGUACAGACUCACUUGCUGGUUCAUAGAAGGUUGUCUCCUCCUUAUAGGUUCACAUGGCCAGAAGAAAGGCGUAGGCAGCUCUCUGGGGUCUCUUUGUGGAAUAAUAUUCUGGAUUUGCCCAACAAUCAAAGGAGCAGCACCUAAGUAUCUCUACAAAAUCUGGAGGAUGGGCGUGAUCUAGAACACUGAUCAUGUUCUGACCUGCUGUACUGGCAGUGAGGAAGCAUAAGGUUGAAAAUGGAAUUCAGAUAUUUGAGCACUAGUGGGAUUCAACAGUGACCAAGUGGACAGAAAAAAACCACCUGACUGCCUGACUGCCAUCUUUUGAAAGUCCCAUUUACAAGGUUGGCCCUCGACUUGCAUCUGGGAACUUGUAUUUGGGGAGGGUUCCCAUCACUCCCAGAAUUGAUGGGUGGCUCACUGUGCCCAAACUAUUUGCACCAAUGGUGUGGUUUUGUGGAAUACCUGCCUUCCUUUAGGGAGUCUGGAAUUUGGGGAUAUGCCAGGCAGAGGGCAUGAUCCCCCUCCAGUAAAAAGCCCCAGGCGCUAAGUCCAAUGAGUUUUCCUAGUUGGCAACAUUUCACACAUGUCACAACUUGUUGCUGGGGGGAAUUAAACUCAUCCUGUGUCACUCUACUGAGAGGAGGCCGUUGGAAGCUUGUAGCCAGUAUACAAAUAAUUACACACAAUAUAUACAAUUUUGUGAGUUUGGAUAUAUGAAUACACUCAUAUUAACCAUCACCAUAAUCAAGGUAAUGAACAUAUCCACCACUGCCCAAGUCUCCUGGUGUUUUGUUGUUUUUGUAGUAACAACACUUAACAUGAGAUCUGUCCUCUUACAAAUUUUUAAGCACAUUACUGCUGACUACUGGCACAAUGUAGUAUAGCAGAUCUCUGGAACUUACCUUGUAGAACUGUAACUUUAUCCCCAUUAAAGAAGAACUCCCCAUAUCUCCCUCCAUUCCCUGGUAACCACCAUUCUAUUUUCUACUUGUAUAAUUUGACUUUUUAAAAUUUAUUUAUUUUUUCUCUGUUUUUUUUUAAAUUGAAGUUUAACAUACAGUAUGAUAUUAGUUUAAGACAUACAACAUAAUGAUUUAACAACUGUAUACAUUACUCUGCACUCACCACAAGUGUAGUCAUCAUCUGUCACUGAACGAUGUUCCAAUAUUAAUGACUGUAUUGCCUAUCCUGGACUUUCAUGUGUGCUUAUUGAAUAGUUUAUGACUAGAAGUUUGUACCUCUUAAUGCCCCUUAUCUAUUUCACCCAUCCCCUGCUACACCUACCCUCUGCAAUUACCAGUCUAGUUUUUUGUUGUUUGUUUCUGUUUUUUUAGAUUCCACAUAUAAAUGAAAUUACACAGUCUUUCUCUGAUUUAUUUCACUUAGCAUAAUACCCUCUAGGUCUAUCCAUGUUGUUGCAAAUGGCAGGAUCCCAUCUUUUUUAUGGCUGAGUACUAUUCUGUUGUGUGUGUGUAUGCACAUCUUUAUCCACUUAUCUAUGGAUGGAUACUUGGGUUGCUUCCAUAUUUUGGCUAUUGUAAAUAAUCCUGCAACAAAUGUUUAUAAGGGAAUGAUCUAGUUUCAUUCUUUUGCAUGUAGGUAUCCAGUUUUCCCAACACCAUUUGUUGAAGAGACUGUCCUUUCCCUGUUGUAUAUUCUUGCCUCCUUUGUUGUAGAUUAAUUGACCAUAUAUGCAUAGGUUUGUUGCUGGGUUUUCCAUUUUGUUCCAUUGAUCUAUGUGUCUGUCUUGGGGGCAGUAGUGUCCUGUUUAGAUUACUACAGCUUUGUCAUGUGUCUUGAAAUCUGGGAUCAUGAUACCUCCACUUCUGUUCUUUCUCAAGAUUGCUUUGACUGCUUGGAGUCUUUUGUGGCUCCAUACAGAUUUUAAUAUUAUUUGUCCUAGUUCUGUGAAGAAUACUUUUGGUGUCUUGAUGGAGAUUGCAUUGAAUCUGUAGAAUGCUUUGGGUAGUGUGGGCAUUUCAACAACGUUAAUGCUUCUAAUCCUUGAGCAUGGAAUAUCUUUACAUUUGUUUGUGUCAUCUUCAGUUUCUUUCAUCAGUGUCUUAUAGUUUUCAGAGUACAGAUCUUUCAUUUCCUUGGUUAAGUUUAUUCCUAUGUAUUUUAUUCUUUUUGGUGGAUUGUUUUCUUAACUUCUCUUUCUGGUAGUUCAUUAUUAGUGUAUACAAAUACAACAGAUUCCUGCAUAUUAUUUUGUAUCCUACAACCGAAUUCAUUUUAUAAGUGUUUUGGUAGAGUCUUUAGGGUUUUCUAUAUACAUUAUCAUCUCAUCUGCAAAUAGUGGUGGUUUUACUUCUUCCUUACCAAUUUGGAUGCUGUCUGUCUUUCUAUCUAUCUAUCUAUCUAUCUAUCUAUCUAUCUAUCUAUCUGAUUGCUGCAGCUAGGACUUCCAGUACUCUAUUGAAUAAAAGUUCAAGAGUGGGCAUCCUUGUCUUAUUCCUGAUCUUAGAGGAAAAGCUCUCAGUUUUUCACCAUUGAGUAUGAUGUUAGCUGUGGGUUUUUCAUAUACAGCCUUUCUUAUGUUGAGGUACGGUCCCUCUGAACCUAUUUUGUUGAGAGUUUUUAUCAUGAGUGAAUGUUGUACUUUGUCACAUGCUUUUUCCACAUCUGUUGAGAUCAUAUGAUUUUUCUUCUUCUCUUUGUUUGUGUGGUGUAUCACACUGGUUGAUUUGCAAAUACUGAACCACCCUUGCAUCCCAGAAAUAAAUACUACUUGAUCAUGGUGAAUGAUUCUUUUAAAUGUAUUGGUGGAUUUAGUUUGCUAUUAUUUUCUUGAGGAUUGUGCAUCUAUGUUCAUCAGAGAU